This 494-nucleotide ribosomal RNA is filed under the name uncultured bacterium. RNAcentral's name for it is "partial 16S ribosomal RNA". It matches the Rfam family "Bacterial small subunit ribosomal RNA", at positions 28 to 507 of the family's 1533-position model. The record is from RNAcentral.
GACGAACGCUGGCGGCGUGCUUAACACAUGCAAGUCGAACGGUGAAGCGCCUUCCUUUUUGGUUUGUGUGGAUGAGUGGCGAACCGGGUAGUAACACGUGAGUAACCUGCCCCCUUCUUCGGGAUAACCGCAUGAAAGUGUGGCUAAUACCGGAUAUUCUGUGUCUGUCGCAUGAUGGGUCUGUGAAAGAUAUUGUUUCGGAGGGGGAUGGGCUCGCGGCCUAUCAUCUUGUUGGUGGGGUGACGGCCUACCAAGGCGGUGACGGGUAGCCGGCAUGGGAGGGUCGGCCGUCCGGGAGGGGCUGAGCGACGGAGCAGCCUACUACGGGAGGCAGCAGUGGAGAAUAGUGCACGAUGGGAGGAAGCAUGCUGCAGCGCCGCCGCGUGAGAGAUGGAGGCCGGCGGGUUGUGAACUUCUUUCGCGAGUGAAGCAGGCCUGCCUAGUGUGUGGGUGGGUUGACGGUAGCUGGAGAAGAAGCGCCGGCUAACUACGUG